This 614-nucleotide ribosomal RNA is filed under the name uncultured Synechococcus sp. RNAcentral describes it as "bacterial SSU rRNA". It matches the Rfam family "Bacterial small subunit ribosomal RNA", at positions 122 to 770 of the family's 1533-position model. The record is from RNAcentral. Lineage: Bacteria; Bacillati; Cyanobacteriota; Cyanophyceae; Synechococcales; Synechococcaceae.
GAAUCUGCCUCAGGAGGGGGAUAACGGUUGGAAACGACCGCUAAUACCCCAUAUGCCGAGAGGUGAAAUGAAAUUCGCCUGAGGAUGAGCUCGCGUCUGAUUAGCUAGUUGGUAAGGUAAUGGCUUACCAAGGCAUUGAUCAGUAGCUGGUCUGAGAGGAUGAUCAGCCACACUGGGACUGAGACACGGCCCAGACUCCUACGGGAGGCAGCAGUGGGGAAUUUUCCGCAAUGGGCGCAAGCCUGACGGAGCAACGCCGCGUGAGGGAUGAAGGCCUCUGGGCUGUAAACCUCUUUUAUCAAGGAAGAAGAACUGACGGUACUUGAUGAAUAAGCCACGGCUAAUUCCGUGCCAGCAGCCGCGGUAAUACGGGAGUGGCAAGCGUUAUCCGGAAUUAUUGGGCGUAAAGCGUCCGCAGGCGGUUUUACAAGUCUGUCGUUAAGGCGUGGAGCUCAACUCCAUUUCAGCGAUGGAAACUGUAAGACUCGAGUGUGGUAGGGGCAGAGGGAAUUCCCGGUGCAGCGGUGAAAUGCGUAGAUAUCGGGAAGAACACCAGUGGCGAAAGCGCUCUGCUGGGCCAUAACUGACGCUCAUGGACGAAAGCCAGGGGAGCG